RNAcentral lists this ribosomal RNA (495 nucleotides) under uncultured bacterium. Its description in RNAcentral is "partial 16S ribosomal RNA". It matches the Rfam family "Bacterial small subunit ribosomal RNA", at positions 29 to 506 of the family's 1533-position model. The record is from RNAcentral.
AUGAACGCUGGCGGCGUGCCUAAUACAUGCAAGUCGAGCGAACAGAUGAGGAGCUUGCUCCUCUGACGUUAGCGGCGGACGGGUGAGUAACACGUGGAUAACCUACCUAUAAGACUGGGAUAACUUCGGGAAACCGGAGCUAAUACCGGAUAAUAUAUUGAACCGCAUGGUUCAAUAGUGAAAGACGGUUUUGCUGUCACUUAUAGAUGGAUCCGCGCCGCAUUAGCUAGUUGGUAAGGUAACGGCUUACCAAGGCAACGAUGCGUAGCCGACCUGAGAGGGUGAUCGGCCACACUGGAACUGAGACACGGUCCAGACUCCUACGGGAGGCAGCAGUAGGGAAUCUUCCGCAAUGGGCGAAAGCCUGACGGAGCAACGCCGCGUGAGUGAUGAAGGUCUUCGGAUCGUAAAACUCUGUUAUUAGGGAAGAACAAAUGUGUAAGUAACUAUGCACGUCUGGACGGUACCUAAUCAGAAAGCCACGGCUAACUACGU